RNAcentral lists this ribosomal RNA (163 nucleotides) under Melicope contermina. RNAcentral's name for it is "5.8S ribosomal RNA". It matches the Rfam family "5.8S ribosomal RNA". From Rfam's summary of the family: 5.8S ribosomal RNA (5.8S rRNA) is a component of the large subunit of the eukaryotic ribosome. It is transcribed by RNA polymerase I as part of the 45S precursor that also contains 18S and 28S rRNA. Functionally, it is thought that 5.8S rRNA may be involved in ribosome translocation. Lineage: Eukaryota; Viridiplantae; Streptophyta; Magnoliopsida; Sapindales; Rutaceae. The record is from RNAcentral.
UAAUGACUCUCGGCAACGGAUAUCUCGGCUCUCGCAUCGAUGAAGAACGUAGCGAAAUGCGAUACUUGGUGUGAAUUGCAGAAUCCCGUGAACCAUCGAGUCUUUGAACGCAAGUUGCGCCCUAAGCUUUUAGGUUGAGGGCACGUCUGCCUGGGUGUCACGC